GGUGCGGUAGCCAAGUGGCCAGGCAACGGUUUGCAAAACCGUGAUACGUGGGUUCAAAUCCCAUCCGCACCUCCA
RNAcentral lists this transfer RNA (75 nucleotides) under Deltaproteobacteria bacterium. Its description in RNAcentral is "tRNA-Cys". It matches the Rfam family "tRNA". Rfam says of the family: Transfer RNA (tRNA) molecules are approximately 80 nucleotides in length. Their secondary structure includes four short double-helical elements and three loops (D, anti-codon, and T loops). The record is from RNAcentral. RNAcentral also lists the same sequence under 1 other name. Lineage: Bacteria; Pseudomonadati; Myxococcota; Myxococcia.